Molecule: unclassified non-coding RNA, 117 nt
Organism: Macaca fascicularis (crab-eating macaque)
Lineage: Eukaryota; Metazoa; Chordata; Mammalia; Primates; Cercopithecidae
Rfam family: Metazoan signal recognition particle RNA
About the family: The signal recognition particle (SRP) is a universally conserved ribonucleoprotein. It is involved in the co-translational targeting of proteins to membranes.
Source: Ensembl
GCCGGGCAUAGUGGCUCAUGCCUGUAAUCCCAGCACUUUGGGAGGCUGAGGCGGGUGGAUCACCUGAGGUCAGGAGUUCAAGACCAGCCUGGCCAAUAUGGUGAAAGCCCACCUCUA